UACAGAGGUCCCGAGCGUUGUUCGGAUUCAUUGGGCGUAAAGGGUGCGUAGGCGGCGGGGCAAGUCUGAUGUGAAAUCCCGGGGCUCAACCCCGGAACUGCAUUGGAUACUGCCUUGCUCGAGUACUGGAGAGGGAACUGGAAUUUACGGUGUAGCAGUGAAAUGCGUAGAGAUCGUAAGGAAGGCCAGUGGCGAAGGCGAGUUCCUGGACAGUUACUGACGCUGAGGCACGAAGGUCAGGGGAGCAAACGGG
This 253-nucleotide ribosomal RNA is filed under the name uncultured bacterium. RNAcentral describes it as "partial 16S ribosomal RNA". It matches the Rfam family "Bacterial small subunit ribosomal RNA", at positions 524 to 776 of the family's 1533-position model. The record is from RNAcentral.